Molecule: ribosomal RNA, 499 nt
Filed under: uncultured Alphaproteobacteria bacterium
Lineage: Bacteria; Pseudomonadati; Pseudomonadota; Alphaproteobacteria
Description: bacterial SSU rRNA
Rfam family: Bacterial small subunit ribosomal RNA
Source: RNAcentral
AACACAUGCAAGUCGCACGGUCAGCAAUGGCAGUGGCGGACGGGUGAGUAACGCGUAGGUAUCUGUCCAUGGGUGGGGGAUAACCUUGGGAAACUAAGGCUAAUACCGCAUGACACCUGAGGGUCAAAGGCGCGAGUCGCCUGUGGAGGAGCCUGCGUACGAUUAGCUAGUUGGUGGGGUAAAGGCCUACCAAGGCGACGAUCGUUAGCUGGUCUGAGAGGAUGAUCAGCCACACUGGGACUGAGACACGGCCCAGACUCCUACGGGAGGCAGCAGUGGGGAAUAUUGGACAAUGGGCGAAAGCCUGAUCCAGCAAUGCCGCGUGGGUGAAGAAGGUCUUCGGAUUGUAAAUCCCUUUCGACGGGGACGAUGAUGACGGUACCCGUAGAAGAAGCUCCGGCUAACUUCGUGCCAGCAGCCGCGGUAAUACGAAGGGGGCUAGCGUUGCUCGGAAUGACUGGGCGUAAAGGGCGCGUAGGCGGUUCGUACAGUCCGAUGU